RNAcentral lists this long non-coding RNA (228 nucleotides) under Homo sapiens (human). Its description in RNAcentral is "non-protein coding lnc-DYNC1H1-5:1". The record is from RNAcentral. Lineage: Eukaryota; Metazoa; Chordata; Mammalia; Primates; Hominidae.
UCUUACUGAGUUAUUGGACAUGUUUAUAUAUUCUGGAUAUGAGUCUAUUGGUUAUAUGUAUUCAAAUAGUUCUAUCCUGUGCCUUGCCUUUUCAUCCUUGUGGAUGUCUUGAUGAAGGAAAAUGUUUAAUUUCAGUGUAGAUAUAUGUAUAUAAUUUGAUCCAGUUGCUUCCUUUCUUUCUUUCUUCUUUUCUUUUCUUUCUUUUUUGUCCCUGUGUACCUAGUUGUC